UUGUGGAAUUAAAUCGCUCUCUUUGCCCAUUUGUAGUACUAUGUCUUGGUGUGCAAAAGAAGAUUUGUAUAUUUAUGGCCCUAUUGUGUAUGGCGACUGAUAGCCGAUGGGCAACCGUAUACUAAAAUUCGCAUUACGUAUGGCUACUGGCUACUGAAUCUAGUAGCGAAA
Long non-coding RNA from Rhagoletis zephyria (snowberry fruit fly), 171 nucleotides. RefSeq lists it as uncharacterized. The record is from RefSeq and is a predicted model, not a curated record. Lineage: Eukaryota; Metazoa; Arthropoda; Insecta; Diptera; Tephritidae.